UCCCCGAUAGCUCAAUGGUAGAGCGAUCGGCUGUUAACCGAUAGGUUCUAGGUUCGAGUCCUAGUCGGGGAG
RNAcentral lists this transfer RNA (72 nucleotides) under Phycisphaerales bacterium. RNAcentral describes it as "tRNA-Asn". It matches the Rfam family "tRNA". From Rfam's summary of the family: Transfer RNA (tRNA) molecules are approximately 80 nucleotides in length. Their secondary structure includes four short double-helical elements and three loops (D, anti-codon, and T loops). The record is from RNAcentral. Lineage: Bacteria; Pseudomonadati; Planctomycetota; Phycisphaerae; Phycisphaerales.